GCCGCGCGGCCGGCCCCGGGAACCGCGGCGGGGAGGGGAGGAUGCUGCGAGGCGUUGCCAGCGGAGUGAACCUGCCGCCGCCGCCUCCCCCUCCACCCUCGGAGCCCGGCCGGGGGAGUCGGGCCGGGCCGGGGAGGAGGAAGUUGCGGCCCAGCUGGGACAGCAGCAGGUGGGAAGCUGCGCGCCCGGCUGUUGCGGCUGCCUGAUUGCAGCCUGGCCUUGGGCAAAGCUUCCUACUCCGUCUGGAGCCCCACACACUUCCCGGUUCCCCCGCUCGGGGGCCGCUUGCCCUGCGUGCUCCUCGAGGGGCCUGCGAGGUGCCAGCGCCAGGGAGAGACAUUUACCGCCGGGGCAGGAUUGCUCGUCGGCCCCGGCACGUGUCGCUCUCCCUUCCCUCUCUGCCGGAGCCCCUCGGCCCUUGGAAGUCCCCCGGGGAGGCUGCAGCGCCCGGAGAAGCCGCAGAGUCAAUGGGGCGAGGGACUGGGGCGGGCGAGCAGAGCACCCAGGAUUGAGACGUGCGCAAGUGCGGUCACUGCAGCGCCGCUUGGCUGUUUCUUCUCCCGACAGUUCGCGAAUUACUUACAAGGAGCCUAGGCUUCUCUGAAGGGUGGACGGCUCGUUCCCUCUCGCCUUGUCCGCCGUCGAUCUCUCCGCCGCCGCCCGGCACGCUUUGCUGAUCUAAAAUCAGAACAAUUAAGAGAGUAAUGAUUUUUUUGGAAUAGCAACUCCUACAGACACUCAGAUCUGCCCUCGCUUCAGCGCCUCCCAGCCCUCAUUCCCAGCAGCCAGGCGAGAGCGCGCAGACCCCUAAAAAGCAACUUGUGUUACCCGGGUCUGGAUCCUGGAACUUUAUAAACUAAUCCGUGUGUGUGUGUAAACCGAAGAUCCAUACAUUAAUUCAAGUCCUACAUAAAGGGGAUCGGUACCAAAAAAUAGCCGGUGAUCCACGCGGAAUGCUCUGAAUUGUAUUACUACCACGAUUUAGCAUUGAAUUCAUUCUGAAAAUACAGCUCAAGACCUGCAUGAUUCCAGCUCCACAGGCUCCACUGAAAAGCAUUGCCUAUCAAAGCAACACACAGAAAAAGCACCAAACAUGCUUGAUAAUAUAAAACCACGCCAUACCCCCACAGAAUGAGACAAUCCAGUCAGCAAGAAAAAAACAAUCAUUGUUGGAAUGAUUUCUCCAUAAUGGAAAGCAAUUCUCUGUGAAUUGACUUACAGGUCAUGACAUAAAACCAAAGAAACAAAGAAAGAACUCUAAGCAUUGACAGAUGUUCUGUGCUCGCUCCUGCCUCCUGAACCCCUCCGAGUCUCCAUCAGAAGGCAGCCUGACCUGCAGCCCCUUUCAAGCAACUUAGGAACUGGAGAGCUCUCAUACAAAAGGUUUUACCCCUAAUUCCACUGAAGACCCCCUCGAACCAAGAAAAAAUUUUCUCACAGGAGAAUUUAAGAGAGUCUAUGGAUUCAUGCUCGAUUUCAUAAUUUCCUCUCUGUACAAAAACCAGGGUAUUUAUUUCACUUACGUAAUUUCCAGGGAAUCAGUUGCAUGACCUGACUUGUAUUCUGUUGGUCUACUGAGGGGACCUUACCGUCAGUCACCCUUGGUGAGAACAUACCCAAGGGCUGAUAUAUGACUGCAAAGGAACUUAACAAUUCCUGGAAGGAAAAGGGUUAAGAGCCAGUAAAAACAGCAUAAAUUUACACAUGACCUAGUGCGAUUACACUUUUAUUCUCUUCCUUGGAAGAAACAACAACAAUGACAACCUCCAUAACUAAUGCUUCUGGUCUAAAAAACCUUCUCCCUAAAGGACAUGUUUUCACCCACUACCGAUGAUCUCAACAACUUUCUGGAUAGAAAGGACCUAUAGACAGAGAGAUGUACCUGCCGGAAUUUUUCAUCAGCUGAAGAACAGGGGCAUUUGCUGCCACAGAGAGAAGUUGCUUUUUUGCCUUUAGCCAUGGAUGUAUCAGGGUGGUCAUGUAUUCACCUGGAGAGCCCACAGAUACCACUGACACAGCAGCUGCUCUGACAAUAGCCCAUCAAUUGUACUCUCUUCUCUUUCUCCCCUCUCCUCCUCCUUCCUGCUAUCCACACACAAAUCCUUCAAGGAAAACCUCUACAAUGCUUCCUGACAACAGGGCUGAAAUAUCUGGAGUAGCGGAUACCUUAGAAGGGCUAUCUUGGAGACUUCGGAAUGAAAUUGAUGGUAUUAGAAGUGCUGAUGAAGAACUAAUUUAAAUGGAAAAGGUAGACAUCCAGAAAAAAGUAAACAUUUAGAGAUAGCGUUAAUUGGAAGAUUUUUAUUUUAAAAUCUAUUCUUAAAAAAAAAAAAAAACACUUCAAUUUUUUUGUGUGGAGUGACUUUCCUUGCACCGUACAUAUGGGCUAUUCUAAAAUACAUCUCUCUCCUUUUAUUCAUGAAAAAUAAUACGACUAAGAGAAUUAUUGAUGGAGAAGUAUCUGGGUCAGGAAAAUGACCCAAAACUGAGAUUUAUGCUUUACUGAAGAAUAUCCUUAUAUUACUAGACCUGUAGAAAAGAAAACUCUGCAUUUUUCUAAUAUAUUUAAGUAAGGGCACCACAUGUUCCCUUCUGGAAAGAAUAAUAAGAGUGUGCAAACUGUGUCCACAGGCCAAAUCAAGCUCACAACUUAUACAUACAGCUCGUGAACGAAGAAUGUUUUUACGUUUUUAAGGUAGCAAACAAUCAAGAGAGGAAUACUAUUUUGUGACAUUUAAACAUUUUAUGAGAUUCAAAUAUAUGUAUUCAUGAAUAAAGUUUUAUUGGAACACA
This is a non-coding RNA of Macaca mulatta (Rhesus monkey), 2793 nucleotides long. NCBI's taxonomy places the organism in Eukaryota, Metazoa, Chordata, Mammalia, Primates, Cercopithecidae. The record is from RefSeq and is a predicted model, not a curated record.